UACGGAGGGUGCAAGCGUUAUCCGGAUUCACUGGGUUUAAAGGGUGCGUAGGCGGGCAGGUAAGUCCGUGGUGAAAUCUCCGAGCUUAACUCGGAAACUGCCAUGGAUACUAUUUGUCUUGAAUGUUGUGGAGGUGAGCGGAAUAUGUCAUGUAGCGGUGAAAUGCUUAGAUAUGACAUAGAACACCAAUUGCGAAGGCAGCUCACUACACAAAUAUUGACGCUGAGGCACGAAAGCGUGGGGAGUC
This 247-nucleotide ribosomal RNA is filed under the name uncultured bacterium. RNAcentral's name for it is "partial 16S ribosomal RNA". It matches the Rfam family "Bacterial small subunit ribosomal RNA", at positions 524 to 770 of the family's 1533-position model. The record is from RNAcentral.